RNAcentral lists this ribosomal RNA (460 nucleotides) under uncultured bacterium. RNAcentral's name for it is "partial 16S ribosomal RNA". It matches the Rfam family "Bacterial small subunit ribosomal RNA", at positions 338 to 795 of the family's 1533-position model. The record is from RNAcentral.
CCUAUGGGUGGCAGCAGUGAGGAAUAUUGGUCAAUGGGCGCGAGCCUGAACCAGCCAAGUAGCGUGAAGGAUGACUGCCCUACGGGUUGUAAACUUCUUUUAUAAAGGAAUAAAGUGAGGCACGUGUGCCUUUUUGUAUGUACUUUAUGAAUAAGGAUCGGCUAACUCCGUGCCAGCAGCCGCGGUAAUACGGAGGAUCCGAGCGUUAUCCGGAUUUAUUGGGUUUAAAGGGAGCGUAGAUGGGUUGUUAAGUCAGUUGUGAAAGUUUGCGGCUCAACCGUAAAAUUGCAAUUGAUACUGGCAGUCUUGAGUACAGUUGAGGUAGGCGGAAUUCGUGGUGUAGCGGUGAAAUGCUUAGAUAUGACGAAGAACUCCGAUUGCGAAGGCAGCUUACUAAACUGCCACUGACAUUGAUGCUCGAAAGUGUGGGUAUCGAACAGGAUUAGAUACCCCGGUAGUC